Molecule: ribosomal RNA, 224 nt
Filed under: Gnamptogenys annulata
Lineage: Eukaryota; Metazoa; Arthropoda; Insecta; Hymenoptera; Formicidae
Description: partial large subunit ribosomal RNA
Source: RNAcentral
GAAUUUUAUAUAAUUAUUAGAAUUAAUUAAUUUAAAAAUUUUUAGUUGAAUUAAUUUUAAUUUAUAUUUAGUUGGGAGGAUUAUUAAAUUUUAAAAACUUUAAUUAGAUAAUUACAUAAAUAUAUGGAUAUUAAAAAUUAAAUUGAAUUUAUAUAGAAAAAUUAAUUACCUUAGGGAUAACAGCGUAAAAUUUUUAGAGAGAUCUUAUUAAUAAAAGUGUUUGC